Molecule: unclassified non-coding RNA, 189 nt
Filed under: uncultured fungus
Lineage: Eukaryota; Fungi
Description: sequence contains ITS1
Source: RNAcentral
UUAAUGAUUCAAAUAUCUAAACUCAGACGACACCUUCAAUAAGAGUUUUGUUUCUGUGCUCCGGCAGGUAAACUUGACCCACCGAAGCAACAUAGAAAGACGCUUUGAUGUGGUACUCAAGGGUUUGGAGGUUGGGCCACUUUGGACCCUAACUCGGUAAUGAUCCUUCCGCAGGUUCACCUACGGAAA